UUUCACAUUAAACAGACAAGUAAAAGGCAAAUUACUUCAAUGCAUGAAUUAGUAGUGCCUUAUACAAAAUAUUUACCAAUGUUUUCUAAAGUUUUUUUAAAGAACCAAGCAAACAUAUUCUCCCAAUAACAAAUGCUUCCAUCAGAUUUCUAACAUACUCACAAUUGUAGUACUACCAUAUUCUAACCAUGGUCAGUUUUAAUGGCCGAGCACGUGUGUAUAUAUAAACAAGUCUUCCACAAAAUGUCAUUGUUAAACAGGAUACAUUUUACUUAAUUACUAUUUUGUUCACAUGCAACUGUUCAUCAUAUUGAUGUUAAUCAAAGUACUUUACAUGAAGACAUGUUUACCUGAUGAUGGCGCUAGAAGAAAAGUCAGAGGAUCAAAGUUGUUCAAAUUGGUCCUCUAAAAACCUUAAAAUAUUCAUCCCGUGGCGAAGGUAUGUCAAUAUUUACCGCAAAUGUCAGUUUACAAAUUGUACAGGUAGACUAUAAUUGUACCAGAUAAAGAUUCAUUUUUGUUGGUUUUUAUUUUAAUAGGAGUUUCUUUUCUGACCACACAGCCUCAGCUUGUAGCUGUGGAGAUUGUGGAGGGAAAGCAGUGGCCCCUGCUAUGCAAAAUGCAAAUGUGAACUUUGCAGGGAGACCAACUUUGAUGGCUAGGUCUCCUAAAAACAAAAGGACGUGUGGAUGUGCGUCCAUGUCUGGCGAGAUGCCUAUUUGUGGGUUCUUAAAAAGAGUGCUUUGGUGAGUGCACCUGCAGAUAACACAAAAGGUGGUCGCGCUAACAUUGCGGGUCAGUGCUCAGCACUUUGUAGAAAAUGACACAUUCAGAAGUGGGGGGCGGCCAUGAAUCGUCUCAAGACAGGAAUACGGAUUGCUUUAAGCCUUACAACUCUGGAGAUAGCCUUGUUGAGUUUUUACACGUAUGUGUUAUCAAUGGAGGUGGGACGUAAGGAGCAGCACAACCUGCAUGUACGGGACAAUCGAUACUUGCAUUUAUUUUACAGUUCAUCGCCCGUUUGUCUCACGGAAAAGUUAUGUUAUCAAAUUUAAUAAUCCCCACCUAAUCCAGGUCAUGGCCAUUACUAUUUAAUGCCCUUCUUUCCUUUGCACUUUCAAAACAUGCACGUUUCAUGUAAAACGAUUGAUAACAAGUUGCUUAAUUUUGAUUGACAGAUCCAAUUUGUUAAGGAAGCAUAAGCAAACGUUCAGUCAGGAAGACAAGCUUUGCAAUCCUGUUCAUUUAUCAAGUUUCAGCCUCUCACUGUGGUUGCUGAGGAGGGGGCGGGGGGUGGGGCGUGCACGUUGUGCAACGUUUCCCUAAACCGAUCCCAUCGUUGCUGUAAAAAAAGAAAAAAUGAUUUUCCUCUCUGCUGCAGUCAUUUCAGCAUGCACCCCCCCCCCCUCCAUCCCAGACACCUCCAAUCAGCAGCAAGUCCUGCUCAUCAUAGGAUUGCAGCCACCUUCCAUCACCACCAAGGGGGAGUAAGCCUUAUCUGACCUCAGCAUUGACCUCACUAAUCCCCCCUGGAUUAUUCUAUGGCAGGAAGGAGUCUCCAAAGAGUUUUUAUCAAGUCAUAUUUAUGCAUGUAUAAUAAAUUAUAAUUAUAUUUUAAUGAAGUCUUCCCUGAUUUAAAGGCUUGCUGCAUUUGACACACAUUUUAUUUGGGAACAAGAACAAGGACUGCAUUAAUUAGCAGGUUGUGAAUUAAAUAUUUUUGGUUGUUUACGGUUCUACCUAAGAAACGGACGUGUUCUGCAUGGAGGUACCGAAAAGCUUUCUGUUGAGCCAUGUGAAGCUCAAAGUGAGCAUGUCAAUAUUUUUUGGGCAGUGACAUUAAAUCCUAACUCCUGGCCAUUAUAACAAUGCGCAGAGAGAUGGAUUGUUGGUGGAGGCGGGUCCUGUUGAUGCGGGAGAGGAGAGAGCUGCAGGCUGACGACCUGACACAACACCCACCUUUCUCUCAAAGCCACCAGCGCUCUAAUUAUACAUCACUUUUAACUUUGAUAUCAUUUAAACAGGGUUCUUUAGAUUGGCUACAUUUCUCUAAAGCUAAAUUCAGACCCCAAUGAACAUCUAACAUGUGUCGAUUUCUGGUAACUCUUCUAUGAUAGAAUUUACGAUUUUACAAUUUACGAAAGACUCACGGCUGUAAUAUUAAGCUCUCAGUUCCCGAAGAACUCACACCUCUACAGGUGUCCUACGGAUGCUCAAACUACGAUGUGUUUAUUAUAGAUGUGGUUUUCAGGUUCUCUUUGUUUGUUUCUUUACCAUAUUUAUACAUUUGUAUCAUGAAAUAAUUAUUAAUGACUUGACUGGUUUCUGAUGAUUUUAAAUAUUUAGAUUAUUAAAGCAUAGAAUCACCCCUUGUUCUUGGAUUCUUUGUGUAACUGACCGGGUUGUUGAGCAGGUCCAUUAAAUGGAGUUCAUUGGCAUAGAUUGUCACAGUGGUGUAGUGAAAGAUGGGUCAAUAAGCGGCGUAGCAUGCUGGCAUGUUUACUGCGUUGUUUCACAAUCAAUCUUCAUCUUGGGAGAACAGACUGCAAUGGGGUACAUUUGGGGUGUCAGCUGCUUCUUCUCCUAAAUGAUGGUAACGUGAUCAUGAACAGUGAUGCGAUCCUUACAGUUAAACAAUAAUCACAAACUGUAUGGGUUGUGGAAUGUGGUCUAGGGCCAUGCCGGUUUGAUUUUCCAAAGUUAUCAACCCAUAUUGUCUGCCUCCAAGAGGCAGAAACUCAUAGUGAAAGACAUGUUGCGGUUUGGUUUUUAUCAAGCAAUUUAUAUUAUUAUUUAAAGACAAACAUAUACAAAUGGUAACAUUUUAACUGGGACCAAAUCCACUGAGUUAGAAUCACCAGAUAAAUAUAUAGAUACAUAUUCAUUUAGCUUGGAAAUGUACAAUUAGACUGCGUGCCACAGUGCUAUAGUUCUAUCAUUUGAAAUUGUUGCAAUAUCGAAUAAGAAUACAUUUAUUUUAAAAACAAAGGAAAUGACACACAGCCUUUUCUCUUGAAAUGUUUGUCGAAGUUAGUCAUCAUCAAGAUUUGUCUGGCGGAGCUUGUUAGACAUCUGCACCUUUGUGAGCGAUGAAACAGCUUUUCCAUAGUCGCUCGUUCAGUGGAGCUGCUGUUUUACAUUCUUCUUUGAGGUUUUGUCGCUGCCAUUUCUGGCUCCCCAAAGGUAACAGCUGCCUUUUGAAUCCCGGUGUUUCCCAGUGGUAAGCCGUUUAGAAAUACAAAUAAAUAGCAUUCAGUGCAUUCCACUCAGUUUGUAUUUUGUACACGCAGUAGGCUUUGCUUCGAUGCAGAGAAGAAAACAUGCUAUGAAUAUUGUAAUCUAUAUUCUGUCCAAAUGGAUAAAAGCCUUGCACUACGAUGACAGAGUCCUUGGUGUGACAUGUUGACUAUUCAUCUGGAGGCAGAGGGUAAUGGAGGUUCGGCACAUGGAUCAUCGGUCUGGGGAAACUGAGGUGACUCCUCUGACCGCUGCAUGUUUUAAAGUUGAACUCUGCGACUGCGUUAGACAGUAAAAGCGUCGUUGACGGAGGCGUCUCCGCGCCAUCGAUUUCUCUCCCUGAAUGAACAGCUACAGUCUUGUUCGUGUUGAGUUUCAGGUGGAGCAUAAAAUGGUACAAAGUUUUAAUUGUUAAAGAUGACUGAAGUUGUGCUUCACUGCUGCUCAGCCAUCAUCAGCCAAUUCAAUAGCUGUUUGGCUGCCGGCCGACAAGAAAACAUCCAAGCGUGCCAGUGAACAAAGACCGGAACUGGAACUGCUAGCAACGACAAGACAAAUCUCUUCAAAUCCUAUUUUGUAUUUUACAAUUUCAAACUAUAUUAGUAACUAUGUAGAAAGUAUGCAUUUUCAGGAAUCAUUGGGACACAUUUAGUGCCAACAUAUAAAUCGUUAAACAUCAUUUUACCCUCUGCUGUUUUGUCUGAGCUCAAUUUGAAUAUGUCAAAUUGUGUUGCACGCAGCAGCUUUCGGAGGACGGCUUUUUCAUCUGCUGAUAGGAGCCGCAGUUGGAUAUUUUCAAGAGCAGGAGUUUUGUCCUUGAGCCAAAUAACUGCUAUUUUGGUGUGCGGUUGGAUGAAAGAUCCCCCGUGUCCUGUUUUCCCAAACCUGUUAGAGAAACGUCUCUUGCUGUGGAAAGGUGCUGUUUUGCUUUUAUCCAAAGCAAAGUUGCAUCAUGCUGCUCAGUUCUCUUUUUUAAAGUUUUCUUUUGAUUUCUCUGAUACUUCAAAACAUAAGAGUAUGAAGCCACUGAAUUGGUUAAUUAUGAUCAAUCAGCCUGUAUCAAUUAAGUAAAAAACCUUUCGCUCUCUUCUGUGUUAGUCCUUUCUGCAUGAAAAAAGUAAUACCCCACCACUCCCUGUCUUUGUGCUGCAAGGUUUUGGGAUUCCCUCCCAGGCUCCGAGCCCAAUGGUUGCAUAUGUAGUUUAAGUAAAAGAUCAAAAAGUAACUUUGAAGUCAUGUCGCCUUGCCUCCCGGCUGAUCU
Gasterosteus aculeatus aculeatus (three-spined stickleback) is the source of this 4498-nucleotide long non-coding RNA. The record is from Ensembl. Lineage: Eukaryota; Metazoa; Chordata; Actinopteri; Perciformes; Gasterosteidae.